UAGGUUGGAUGCACUGUUGAGCCUCCUAUAUAACCUACGGUAGUACUAACUACUCCUUCAACUUUUUUAAAUAGAUGCUCAACACUCCAGAAA
Molecule: microRNA precursor, 93 nt
Filed under: Neochlamydia sp. TUME1
Lineage: Bacteria; Pseudomonadati; Chlamydiota; Chlamydiia; Parachlamydiales; Parachlamydiaceae
Description: MIR828
Source: RNAcentral